This 381-nucleotide RNase P RNA is filed under the name Holosporaceae bacterium. RNAcentral's name for it is "RNase P RNA component class A". It matches the Rfam family "Bacterial RNase P class A". From Rfam's summary of the family: Ribonuclease P (RNase P) is a ubiquitous endoribonuclease, found in archaea, bacteria and eukarya as well as chloroplasts and mitochondria. Its best characterised activity is the generation of mature 5'-ends of tRNAs by cleaving the 5'-leader elements of precursor-tRNAs. Cellular RNase Ps are ribonucleoproteins. The record is from RNAcentral. Lineage: Bacteria; Pseudomonadati; Pseudomonadota; Alphaproteobacteria; Holosporales; Holosporaceae.
UUGUGAUUACGGAUGGUCGCCGCUUCGGCGGAGGAAAGUCCGGACUCCUCGGAGGAUGGUGCCAGAUAACGUCUGGCGGCGUCGCAAGGCGCUAGGGAAAGUGCCGCAGAAAAUAUACCGCCUUCGGGCAAGGGUGAAAUGGCGAGGUAAGAGCUCACCGCGCAACCGACAACGGAAGUGGCAAGGCAAACCCCACCUGGAGCAAGAUCAAAUAGGGACAACGCAUAUGCCCUCCGCAUUUAGGUUCGAUAGCAUUGCUACCGUAACCAUAGGGUUGUCCGGGUAGAUCGCUAGAUGUUUACGGUGACGUAAAUACCAGAUGAAUGGCCAUCGGAAUGCGUUUGCAUUCCACAGAAUCCGGCUUAUAGUUUUCACAAAAAC